AGUCAAGUCUCAAAGCAGUAGAAGACAUGUGAUCUAAUUUAUCAAACUGGAAUAUUUGUAUAAUAGGACCGGACCUGAGAAUGUUAAACAAUUCUUGGAUGAUUCAUAAUUAGUGGUUAAAUGUCAAUCAUACAUGAUGAUUUUAGGUUUUCUAUGAAAUCUAUUCAGAAGAGAAUUUUACAAAAAAUAUAUGAAUACUAGUUUUUUAGGACAUG
RNAcentral lists this ribosomal RNA (215 nucleotides) under Eimeria irresidua. Its description in RNAcentral is "large subunit ribosomal RNA". Lineage: Eukaryota; Apicomplexa; Conoidasida; Eucoccidiorida; Eimeriidae. The record is from RNAcentral.